GGAUGUUCUGAUCUUUGCUUGGUGUAAUUGGUGGUUUGGAUUACUUGGUUGGAGACGUCUAGGUAGAUGGUAUACUGGAUGAUUGAUUUGGUGGUAGUUAUCCCUUCGAUGGUUAUGCUGUGGUUUCUCGGCCUGGGCGAUCUUCCUCUAUUUUUUCAAAAGGGAGAUGCUGGGAUUGUGAAGCGAAAGCAUUAGUUCCGUAAGGUAUGAAUAAUCUUCAAACAAUUUAGGUUUUGGUUGUGGUACUCUAUUAGUUUGGUGAACUAGUAUUUGUGGGUAUUAAGGUCUGUUAAAGGAUUGUGUUUGUAGGUUGAUUUUGUUAUGUUGUUAGGGAACUCUGGUCGUAUUUGUG
RNAcentral lists this unclassified non-coding RNA (352 nucleotides) under Hevea brasiliensis (rubber tree). The record is from RNAcentral. Lineage: Eukaryota; Viridiplantae; Streptophyta; Magnoliopsida; Malpighiales; Euphorbiaceae.